RNAcentral lists this ribosomal RNA (253 nucleotides) under uncultured bacterium. Its description in RNAcentral is "partial 16S ribosomal RNA". It matches the Rfam family "Bacterial small subunit ribosomal RNA", at positions 524 to 776 of the family's 1533-position model. The record is from RNAcentral.
UACGAAGGGGGCUAGCGUUGCUCGGAAUCACUGGGCGUAAAGCGCACGUAGGCGGUUUGCUAAGUCAGGGGUGAAAUCCUGGAGCUCAACUCCAGAACUGCCUUUGAUACUGGCGGACCUGAGUCCGGGAGAGGUGAGUGGAACUGCGAGUGUAGAGGUGAAAUUCGUAGAUAUUCGCAAGAACACCAGUGGCGAAGGCGGCUCACUGGCCCGGUACUGACGCUGAGGUGCGAAAGCGUGGGGAGCAAACAGG